AUUCAGGCAAAGAUUCUGAAGCAGUAGGGAAAAUGUUGGAAAUAAAAGAGAGCCAGGGGCUGGUGAAACCUGGAUGAAGACUUUCCUGAACUCGUCAGAGGAGCAAACCGCAUUCCUGCGUUAUGGGAAAUUGAGUGUACAGACUGAAUGCAGUCUGUGAACUAAGGUGGAACCGCGUGCAAACGUCCUUGGA
RNAcentral lists this non-coding RNA (193 nucleotides) under Erysipelotrichaceae bacterium. Its description in RNAcentral is "T-box sequence". It matches the Rfam family "T-box leader". Rfam says of the family: Uncharged tRNA acts as the effector for transcription antitermination of genes in the T-box leader family. T-boxes are found upstream of many aminoacyl-tRNA synthetase genes and some amino acid biosynthetic genes usually in Gram-positive bacteria. The record is from RNAcentral. Lineage: Bacteria; Bacillati; Bacillota; Erysipelotrichia; Erysipelotrichales; Erysipelotrichaceae.